UCUUUUCCACCUUCACAAGAAACCCCAUUUACCUCCCUGCUUUUUCAUCCAUCUCCUUCAACAAACUAAUUGAAUAUGACAGCCACAUCUCUUUUCAACAAAAAUAACAUUUCUCACAAACCCAUUUCUCAGAACCAAUUUUAGAUCAAAAAAUGGCUCAUGAAGGUGAUCAAGAACCAAGAAAUCUCCAUUACCCACUCGAAGCAAACUGCUACAGAGUUCUGGACGAGAUUGGGCAAGGCGUGAGUGCCAUUGUGUACAAGGCCAUCUGUGUCCCGUUGAACUCGACUGUGGUGGCCAUUAAAGCCAUAGACCUCGAUCGAUCUCGAGCCGAUCUCGAUGAUGUUCUGCGUGAAACCAAGACCAUGUCACUCCUCUCCCACUCCAACAUCCUCAAUGCUCAUUGUUCUUUCACUGUGAACCAAACACUCUGGGUGGUCAUGCCUUUCAUGUCCGCAGGCUCUUUACAGUCCAUCGUAUCAUCUUCUUUCCCGGAUGGCUUGUCUGAAUCAUGUAUUGCAAUAGUUCUCAAAGACACGUUGAAUGCUCUGUGUUAUCUUCAUGAUCAAGGCCACCUUCAUAGAGAUGUGAAGGCGGGUAAUAUUUUGAUGGACUCGAACGGUGCAGUGAAGCUAGCAGACUUUGGUGUCUCUGCUUCGAUUUACGAGCCGAGUUCGGGUCGAGGGUCGUCGGGAUCAUCGUCCGGGAGGCUCACCGACGUCGCCGGGACGCCGUAUUGGAUGGCUCCGGAGGUGAUACACUCGCAUACAGGGUACAGUUUCAAGGCUGAUAUAUGGUCUUUCGGUAUCACUGCGUUGGAAUUAGCUCAUGGAAGGCCACCUCUGUCUCACCUCCCUCCUUCGAAGUCCCUCUUCAUGAAGAUCACAAAGCGGUUUCGAUUCUCGGAUUAUGAGAAGAUCUACCAGAGCCUGAAGAACAAGAAAUUCUCGAAAUCUUUUAAGGACAUGGUUGCUUUGUGCCUUGAUCAAGACCCGUCCAAGAGGCCUUCUGCUGAGAAGCUAUUGAAGCACCCAUUUUUCAAGAAUUGCAGGGGCUCGGAUUUUCUUGUGAAGAACAUCUUGCAAGGGUUGCCUAGUGUGGAACAGAGGUUCAAGCUAUCGAAGCUUCAACGCCUGGUUUCGAUGAGCAAAUCCGAGGAAGAAGAUGAAGGGAGUGAAGGGUCUUCACUGGGUGAUAAUAAUGACAAACAGAGGAGGAUUAGUGGGUGGAACUUCAAUGCAGAUGGUUUUGAACUAGACCCAGUGUUCCCAACUGAUAAAGCAGAUGAUGAUAUUGUGAAACUAGUUCGAUUUGGUGGCGAAACAUUCAUUGGUGGAGAUGAAGGAAGAGAAACCAAAGUUUGUGAUCAAGCUAGUGAGGGAUCAAAAGAGAUUGGCAGUGGUGGUGGUGGUGGUGGUGAGGCUGAGAUUGGUGGUUCGGCGCGGGUUGAUAGGGAGGUGAUGAUGGGGAGUCUUCUAUUUCUGAAGAACAGUUUGGAUGAUCAGAGAAAGCAGGUGAUGAACAUGAUUGGUCUGUUUCGCGGGGAGGAGAGUGUGGAGGUGAGCAGAGAAGAGGAGAUGAUGCAAAUGAUGGAGAGAUUGAGGAUGGAAUUGGAGAAUGAGAGGAAGAAGAACUUUGAAUUGAAGAUGGAGUUGGAAUUUUUGAAAUUGCAGCUCUGAAAAAUAAGAUAGUGGCUUGGAAGGCGGGCUCUUUGGGACAACUGGGAGCAACCAACCACUGGGUUACUAAGUUUGGAUGUGCAAUCUACUUGGCUGGCAGUUAUUUGUGGGUUCAGCACCAAGAGGCAAGUGACUUUAAUGAUGUGUGACAAUGGAUGCUAUAGGCUGUUCUUUUCCUGUAAAUCUGUAGUAGUUUCAUAAUUUCAUUGAAAAAAUAGCAUAUAUAUAUAUAUAUAUUUGUGUAUAUAUAUGUAUAUUUUCCUAUUGAGAUCUCAUCAAUUUGGAAUGUAAUCUCUUAGUACUUUUGGGUGUUGAAGUUAAAUCAUGAUCACAGAUUAGAUGAAAUUCAUGAUGAAAUGCUUGCCAUUCUGAUCAGGAUUUUGUACGAGUCCAUUUGGUUUACUGGCAGAUUUGCUUGGACGUACUGAGCUAGUAUUUUAUGCAACUAUAUAAGAAAAGGAAUGCAAGUAAAUGUGUUGGAUUAUGUGACAUAUAUGCAUUAGGAUUAUAAUAUUGAAAAAGGUCAUUAAAACUUAAUUGUAAAGACCCAAAAUCCGAGGAUCCGAGUUGCCAUCCGGGUCCUUACCCAAAUCCAUUAAUCCGCUAUUAUGGUCAUUUUACAUCGUAAAGUCCGCAAAUAUGGUUGGUUCUAUCUUAUUCAUCAUUAAAGAAGUCAAAUAUGUUCAUUACGUUGAAGUCUCAGGCCAACGGAACAAGUCUCCCAAAAAGUCCCUAGCCGAGUGC
RNA transcript from Cornus florida, 2423 nucleotides. It is a transcript of the gene named serine/threonine-protein kinase BLUS1, with no coding region annotated. The transcript has 3 exons. The record is from RefSeq and is a predicted model, not a curated record. NCBI's taxonomy places the organism in Eukaryota, Viridiplantae, Streptophyta, Magnoliopsida, Cornales, Cornaceae.